Molecule: long non-coding RNA, 1039 nt
Filed under: Olea europaea subsp. europaea
Lineage: Eukaryota; Viridiplantae; Streptophyta; Magnoliopsida; Lamiales; Oleaceae
Rfam family: Small nucleolar RNA snoR2/U65 (bases 230-380)
Source: RNAcentral
AUGACACUCUUAAACAGCAGCAGUUGCACGGCGGCGUUACCCCUCCCAUUAAAUGCUGUCAUUUUUGGAUUUUUUCCAAUUCUGCUCACUGGUCGGGACUUUGUGUUCUACACCACGCUUCUCUCUGUGUGUGAUUUGGAACGGGUCUCUGAGGUUUCGAUUCAAUUCUAUUAUUUAAUCCUUCAUAAUUUAUGAUUUUUUUUUUCAUUUAAUGCCUUUUUUCCUCAAAGGUCCGAUGCCACGUUGUCAAUAGCGAAUUAGCAGUGACCGGCGAUGCUAUGAUUAGACCAAAAUUGAUUCCAUGUUUUGCUUGUCGAUAGGAAUCUGUAGACUGAUUUUUAUUCCAUUCAUCUGCGGAGCCGUUUUCUGCGAUCACAUUUUUAGGAUUCAGAUUCAAUUUUUUUUCUUUUAAUCUACAAAUUGCCUUAAUUUAUGGAGGCCAAUGAGGAAUUUUUAUCAUUAUAUGGAAUUAUCGUCUAAACAUAAUUUGAUGUUAGAUCGACUAUCUGAGCCCCACCCCUCACCCCGGGGAGGAAUCAUGCUUGUUCAAACAACACCUAUUUGAUGCAUCAACGUUGUUAACCAUUUGUACAAAUAGUAUAAUUGAAAUUGGAGGCGAUUGUCACCCAAGUCCUAUUGGGCAAUCUCCCACCUUUUGGAGAGCUUGUUUGAGACUGGGGAAAGGGUCGAGACUUCCUUGAUUACUUAUUGGGGCGAACCAAUUAAGGGGCUCCUGAUAGAAAGAAAGUCGGAAUUUCCCUUUCAUAAAAGAAAUUGGCUUCUAAAAUUGACUUUAAAAAAUAUUAUCUAUUUUUUGAUAUCAACACAAUCUAUCAGCAAUAUCUUUUGGACGAGCUUUUUGCCUAAAGAGACAUCCAACAAAGAACCUAUCAACAGUGGCACAUUGACGAGGAGCACUUUAUUGGAAGUUUUAACAUUUUAACCAUAAAUGGGGACUUCAACCAUCUUACACAUCCCUGGGAUGAGGCUUACGAGCUGCUUUCAUUAAUGGUGCUGUUGACACGUUAAAAGUGUAGCC